GAUGAACGCUGGCGGCGUGCUUAACACAUGCAAGUCGAACGAAGCACUUGAGAAGAUUUCUUCGGAAUGAAACUUAAGUGACUGAGUGGCGGACGGGUGAGUAACGCGUGGGUAACCUGCCUCAUACAGGGGGAUAACAGUCAGAAAUGACUGCUAAUACCGCAUAAGCGCACAGUACCGCAUGGUACGGUGUGAAAAACUCCGGUGGUAUGGGAUGGACCCGCGUCUGAUUAGCUAGUUGGUGGGGUAACGGCCUACCAAGGCGACGAUCAGUAGCCGGCCUGAGAGGGCGACCGGCCACAUUGGGACUGAGACACGGCCCAAACUCCUACGGGAGGCAGCAGUGGGGAAUAUUGCACAAUGGGGGAAACCCUGAUGCAGCGACGCCGCGUGAGCGAAGAAGUAUUUCGGUAUGUAAAGCUCUAUCAGCAGGGAAGAAAAUGACGGUACCUGACUAAGAAGCCCCGGCUAACUACGUGCCAGCAGCCGCGGUAAUACGUAGGGGGCAAGCGUUAUCCGGAUUUACUGGGUGUAAAGGGAGCGUGGACGGACUGGCAAGUCUGAUGUGAAAACCCGGGGCUCAACCCCGGGACUGCAUUGGAAACUGUCAGUCUAGAGUGUCGGAGGGGUAAGUGGAAUUCCUAGUGUAGCGGUGAAAUGCGUAGAUAUUAGGAGGAACACCAGUGGCGAAGGCGGCUUACUGGACGAUAACUGACGUUGAGGCUCGAAAGCGUGGGGAGCAAACAAGAUUAGAUACCCUGGUAGUCCACGCCGUAAACG
Molecule: ribosomal RNA, 780 nt
Filed under: uncultured bacterium
Lineage: Bacteria
Description: bacterial SSU rRNA
Rfam family: Bacterial small subunit ribosomal RNA
Source: RNAcentral